CCUACGGGAGGCAGCAGUGAGGAAUAUUGGUCAAUGGACGAGAGUCUGAACCAGCCAAGUAGCGUGAAGGAGGACUGCCCUAUGGGUUGUAAACUUCUUUUAUAUGGGAAUAAAAUGUUCCACGUGUGGGAGUUUGUAUGUACCAUAUGAAUAAGCAUCGGCUAACUCCGUGCCAGCAGCCGCGGUAAUACGGAGGAUCCGAGCGUUAUCCGGAUUUAUUGGGUUUAAAGGGAGCGUAGGUGGAUUGUUAAGUCAGUUGUGAAAGUUUGCGGCUCAACCGUAAAAUUGCAGUUGAAACUGGCAGUCUUGAGUACAGUAGAGGUGGGCGGAAUGCGUGGUGUAGCGGUGAAAUGCUUAGAUAUCACGAAGAACUCCGAUUGCGAAGGCAGCUCACUGGACUGCAACUGACGCUGAGGCUCGAAAGUGUGGGUAUCAAACAGGAUUAGAUACCCUAGUAGUC
This 460-nucleotide ribosomal RNA is filed under the name uncultured bacterium. RNAcentral describes it as "partial 16S ribosomal RNA". It matches the Rfam family "Bacterial small subunit ribosomal RNA", at positions 338 to 795 of the family's 1533-position model. The record is from RNAcentral.